Molecule: ribosomal RNA, 248 nt
Filed under: uncultured crenarchaeote
Lineage: Archaea; Thermoproteati; Thermoproteota
Description: partial 16S ribosomal RNA
Rfam family: Archaeal small subunit ribosomal RNA
Source: RNAcentral
AGCACCUCGAGUGGUCAGGAGGUUUAUUGGGCCUAAAGCAUCCGUAGCCGGUUGUUUAAAGUUUCCGGUUAAAUCUAUACGCUUAACGUAUAGGCUGCCGAAAAUACUGGACAGCUAGGGAGUGGGAGAGGUACACGGUACUCAAUAGGAAGGGGUAAAAUCCUUUGAUCUGUUGAUGACCACCUGUGGCGAAGGCGGUGUACCAGAACACGUUCGACGGUGAGGGAUGAAAGCUGGGGGAGCAAACC